ACGAUGUCUACUAGUUGUCGGGACUUAAUUGUCUUGGUAACGCAGCUAACGCGUGAGGUAGACCGCCUGGGGAGUACGGUCGCAAGAUUAAAACUCAAAGGAAUUGACGGGGACCCGCACAAGCGGUGGAUGAUGUGGAUUAAUUCGAUGCAACGCGAAAAACCUUACCUACCCUUGACAUGUACGGAAUCCUUGAGAGAUCAGGGAGUGCUCGAAAGAGAGCCGUAACACAGGUGCUGCAUGGCUGUCGUCAGCUCGUGUCGUGAGAUGUUGGGUUAAGUCCCGCAACGAGCGCAACCCUUGUCCUUAGUUGCUACGAAAGGGCACUCUAAUGAGACUGCCGGUGACAAACCGGAGGAAGGUGGGGAUGACGUCAAGUCCUCAUGGCCCUUAUGGGUAGGGCUUCACACGUCAUACAAUGGUACAUACAGAGGGCCGCCAACCCGCGAGGGGGAGCUAAUCCCAGAAAGUGUAUCGUAGUCCGGAUUGUAGUCUGCAACUCGACUACAUGAAGUUGGAAUCGCUAGUAAUCGCGGAUCAGCAUGUCGCGGUGAAUACGUCCCGGGUCUUGUACACACCGCCCGUCACACCAUGGGAGCGGGUUUCACCAGAAGUAGUAGCCUAACCGCAAGGAAGGCGCUUACCACGGUGGGAUUC
This 657-nucleotide ribosomal RNA is filed under the name uncultured soil bacterium. RNAcentral's name for it is "bacterial SSU rRNA". It matches the Rfam family "Bacterial small subunit ribosomal RNA", at positions 806 to 1470 of the family's 1533-position model. The record is from RNAcentral.